AUCCCUUCCCAUUGCAGGUUUCCAAGCUUAAGUCAGACGUUCUCUGAUGAAGGGGAGAGAAUUAAAUUACACGCACAAAAAGUCAAGCUUUGAAAAUAGAUAAACCUACAACUAAGAGAAGAAAAACUGUGGGAUCUGCUGACAAACCUCAGCUGUCCAGAAAAAAGUUGUCCAUCUUAAGCCAUUAUCCCUGCUAAUGACCAUCUCGGCUAAGAAGCACAGUUUAUUCAGAGGGGCACGCACAGCAGAGACAUGGUCAGAGCAACUCUGUGGAGCAGCCCGGUCAUCGCUCCCGGAGGUAACUGGCGGUGACCACAGCCUGGUCAUCGCACCUGGAGGCAGCCGGCAGUGACCGCGUUCAGCUGCCUGACUUCAUUCCUUCACUAGGAGCAAGAUCACCCUCGAUUUUCUAAAAGACCCACAUCAGCAAGCAAAUCAGCAACCAGGACACAGAGCAAGCUCUGACGACGCAGCAGCCCACCUCCGGCAUUUUUCCCUCCUUUGUUAUAAUUUAUAUACACAGCCUAGAGGCAUGGUGCCAGGCAUGAAAGACCGUUGAAAACACAGCCCCAGCCCUCAGGAAGUUUCUGUAAGAUGACGUAAUGGUUAACACAGAAGAAACCACGGGGAAGAAAGCAAAGCAAAGACUACGUCCGAUUACAUGAACAGUUAUGACGGGAAGGACUAGAUCGAGCGCCGAAGGAUGAGGGUCAGCUCCCAAGGUCAACUGAUGCAGUUGCUCUGUUAUCCACCCACCAAGAAACUAAGUGAAUAAAGAAUGUAUUCCAUUUUCCAUAUGAACACAGCUCAGAAGUUCUGCAUUUUCCUGUCUGUGCAAGCACAACUAGCAUGGUUGAUGCUGAACAUCUGGAACCCUUCUGGCCAUGUGGAACUUGGAACACAGCCUUUGGCGUCCUUGCCAAGGGUGUGUGUAUUCACAACUUAGGGAGGAAUCCCAAGUCGAAUUCCACAGUUAAGAGCAAAUAGAGUUUUUAACAUACUGAAAAAGUACUCUUCUGUGUGGUAGAGAAACACAGCCAGUAAAAGAUGGAACCUCGGGACAACCCAAAUGUCAGCGUGGCACAUCUCCUGCAGAAUCUGGAUGUACUCAGAGAUUCCAGUGAUUUUAUGUUCUUAACAGAGCCCAGAUGCUCCUAAGUAUUCCCGAUAUUAUUAAAAAUUAAACUGAAUAUAA
This is a non-coding RNA of Vicugna pacos (alpaca), 1195 nucleotides long. The record is from RefSeq and is a predicted model, not a curated record. NCBI's taxonomy places the organism in Eukaryota, Metazoa, Chordata, Mammalia, Artiodactyla, Camelidae.